GUUAGUGGAAGCGUCUGGAAAGGCGUGCGAUACAGGGUGACAGCCCCGUACACAAAAAUGCACAUACUGUGAGCUCGAUGAGUAGGGCGGGACACGUGGUAUCCUGUCUGAAUAUGGGGGGACCAUCCUCCAAGGCUAAAUACUCCUGACUGACCGAUAGUGAACCAGUACCGUGAGGGAAAGGCGAAAAGAACCCCGGCGAGGGGAGUGAAAAAGAACCUGAAACCGUGUACGUACAAGCAGUGGGAGCCUCUUAAUGGGGUGACUGCGUACCUUUUGUAUAAUGGGUCAGCGACUUAUAUUCUGUAGCAAGGUUAACCGAAUAGGGGAGCCGAAGGGAAACCGAGUCUUAACUGGGCGUUAAGUUGCAGGGUAUAGACCCGAAACCCGGUGAUCUAGCCAUGGGCAGGUUGAAGGUUGGGUAACACUAACUGGAGGACCGAACCGACUAAUGUUGAAAAAUUAGCGGAUGACUUGUGGCUGGGGGUGAAAGGCCAAUCAAACCGGGAGAUAGCUGGUUCUCCCCGAAAGCUAUUUAGGUAGCGCCUCGUGAAUUCAUCUCCGGGGGUAGAGCACUGUUUCGGCAAGGGGGUCAUCCCGACUUACCAACCCGAUGCAAACUGCGAAUACCGGAGAAUGUUAUCACGGGAGACACACGGCGGGUGCUAACGUCCGUCG
Molecule: ribosomal RNA, 678 nt
Filed under: Escherichia coli
Lineage: Bacteria; Pseudomonadati; Pseudomonadota; Gammaproteobacteria; Enterobacterales; Enterobacteriaceae
Description: partial 23S ribosomal RNA
Rfam family: Bacterial large subunit ribosomal RNA
Source: RNAcentral